GAAAAAUAUACGCCGAAUGCCGCGCCCUGUAAACCAACAGAAGCGGCAGCGGGAGAACCAAUUAUUGGGGUGAUUUGCCUUGGGAUACCGUGAGCAUCGCGUAUCCCGGCAAUAGGGAACCUUCUUUCCCGAACCCGUCAGCUAAUCUCGUAGGCGAAGGAAGGUUAAAUG
RNAcentral lists this small RNA (171 nucleotides) under Enterocloster asparagiformis. Its description in RNAcentral is "Clostridium asparagiforme c-di-AMP sequence". It matches the Rfam family "c-di-AMP riboswitch aptamer (ydaO/yuaA leader)". Rfam says of the family: This family represents a conserved RNA structure found upstream of the ydaO and yuaA genes in Bacillus subtilis and related genes in other bacteria. The ydaO/yuaA element is thought to act as a genetic "off" switch for the ydaO and yuaA genes in its native state. The record is from RNAcentral. Lineage: Bacteria; Bacillati; Bacillota; Clostridia; Lachnospirales; Lachnospiraceae.